CGACAGAAAGGAACUCACAGGCGUCGAUCACUAAAUCAUCAUUGAAUCCGACAAUAUUUUAUCAUGCCAAACACCUCGUCCAAGCACAUGCGCUGGCUGCUCUCUAUCAAAACAUCUGCAAUCUUUUCAAAAUUUGAAGUAAUGACACUCAUCAUAUCGAUUAAAGUAUUGUCAUUGCACCUCCUCUUUGUGGGCUUCUUUAAACGAGACGAUGAAGAAAACAUUGCUCUGAUAUAUACUGCCAUCACAUGCAUUGUCCAAACUGGUUUAAGAUCCAUUUGAAGAAUUGGUGCCAAAGAUGACUUGCAACUUACCAAUGUUCUCAAUGUGUUUUCCCUUCAUGAAUUUGACAUUAAUAUUUGGCUUAGAAACAAAUAAAAUAUACAAAGUUUAGGUUGCUAAUAAAAUAACAAUAAUUAACAGUAGACAGACUUUCAUUAGUGAGCAUCUUUUCAGGCACGAAUUUAUACUCGUAAAAAAGUAGUUAUUUUUUAUUUGGUUGAAGCAAAACAACACUCCACAUACAAUUUGAUUCUCUAAACUAAAGUCAUCACAUUGAGCACCUACAGAUAAAAAUAUCAACUGACAUUAUUUGAAUCCUUUACAAUAAUGUAGUUAAUAGAUCUCUAGUUAUUGUAACAUAUUCAAGGUCUAUAAUAUUAUAAGGCAAGCCGAAAAAGGAGAAGAGAUAGGAAUGACAAUAAGGUAAAGAUGCAACGAUUGAUGGUUUGAUGAAAUGUUUGAUUGUUUGAAAAAAUAUUUUGUACACAAACCUUGUAGUACUUAAAGGAUCAUCAGCUUGAAUUGGUACUCAAACUCUAUCUCCAUGAUUCAUACUCAAGCAUGGUAAAAAAUAACAGUAUCUUCUCACUUUAAUAAGUAGCCUGCAAAAUAACAAUAUGUAGACUAAUGUAUUUUCUACUUUUGAACAUGAUUGAGGUACUUUGGCUAUUUAAGAAAAGGCAAAAAAAUUUCCUUCACAAUUGGUGUGAUGAACUUUACCAAGAAAGAAGUAACUUUUUGUAGGGAUGAUCAAAAAGUAUGGAUGAAAUUAAUUAAAAGACCCAUUGCUCCAAAUGAAGGUGUAAUAUGCAUAGAUAAAUUAAAUGACAUCAGUGACCAAAACAUAAUGUGAACCAGCAAAUGACUUUGAAAAUAGACUCUAUAUACAACAACAAUAAAGUCUGUGAAGUAAAUUAAGCAAAGUACAAUAUAAGGAAGAUGUUGCAACAGCGUAAGUAAUAAGAAUAAGUGAAACAAAGUAAACUCGAUUGUAUUUCUGACAAAUACUUCAUCACACACAAGGCAAGGCAUCCCAACAUAUAAAUAUUAUUGCACGUAAGCUUACUCUUUGAACUCAAGAGAUAUACAUGUAUAUACUAUAUAGAAGAAGAAAAAAAUAUUUAACAAUGUACAUGUAUAAUUUGCAGCUCAGACAAUACAUAUGCAUACUUAAAAAGCAAGGGACAAAUUUAAAAUAGUGUAUGUCCGACAUAAAGCACAAGCUUGUAAUUAACUGGUUGAACAUCUUCACAAAAAUAAACUAACCUUGCAAUCAAUCGUCCAACAUGCAACUUAAAGCACCUUAUACUGAUAAUAGAAACGUCGAAUAUAAAAUGGCAAUUACAUAUCAAGAAUAGAAGAUAAAAAUAUUAAGAAAAAGUAAUUUAAUAGAAGCGUAGCAUUAAAAAUUAGACAUUCAUAAAGAAUUGACAUGUUUUUUAAGGAUUCAGGACAUCAGAGACUUGUCAUUCUGGGAAUGUCAACCAAUAAUUCUAAUGGACUAUAUAAGCUUGAGAGUGAAUUCGUCAUGAAAACAAACCUGAAUUUCAUAUAACCAUUUUAUGGGUCAUAUAAGAGCUCAAGUUUCUUGAUAGAUGCUAGUGGUACAAACCUAAAGCACAAGUUGAACCCAAAACAACCAUACCACCAUUAUUCGCAUGAAAGAGAAACAUAAAAGUAGUAAAUUCAAACUAAUAUGCUCCAUAUAAAUAGAAAUAAGGAUACUUCACAUAAAUGAAAAUUCAUAUACAAUUGUGAAAGUAAGAUUAGAAACAGAAAGAGAACUAAGGGUACUACACAAGUAAUUUUACAUGAAAAGUUUCAUUGAAUUAAAAAUUGUUAAAAAUUUAUGAACUAUAACAGUAAAGAAGAGGAAGUACAAAAAAAUCAAUGAUGAACACGUUACCUCAAUUUACUGUUGACUAUGAUCUUGGCAUUAUUUUUUUGAUCAGUAAACUAUGAAGUGGAG
This 2251-nucleotide long non-coding RNA is filed under the name Nicotiana benthamiana. Its description in RNAcentral is "long non-coding RNA (NBEN_LNC002944)". Lineage: Eukaryota; Viridiplantae; Streptophyta; Magnoliopsida; Solanales; Solanaceae. The record is from RNAcentral.